Molecule: RNase P RNA, 486 nt
Filed under: Cytophagaceae bacterium
Lineage: Bacteria; Pseudomonadati; Bacteroidota; Cytophagia; Cytophagales; Cytophagaceae
Description: RNase P RNA component class A
Rfam family: Bacterial RNase P class A
About the family: Ribonuclease P (RNase P) is a ubiquitous endoribonuclease, found in archaea, bacteria and eukarya as well as chloroplasts and mitochondria.
Source: RNAcentral
GGCCCGGAUCGUCUUAUCGCCUCGCUUUAGGGCGGGGAGGAAAGUCCGGACAGCACAGAGCACCCUACUUCCUAACGGGAAGGCGGACGGCGGGUAACCACCGUUCGACAGCCAGUGUCACAGAAAAAAUACCGCCAAAUCAGUUAACAGUUAUCAAUGAUCAGUUAUCAAUUUUUUGCGCCGAGUCAACGGCUGAUAAUUGUUCACUGAUAACUGUUAACUGACCAGGUAAGGGUGAAAAGGGGGUGUAAGAGACCACCGCGCGCUGGGCGACCAGCGGGGCAGGAUAAACCUUAGGGGCUGAAAGAUCAAAUAUGUGUCGGAUGCGGGGCUGCUCGUCUCCACGCCGCCUUCGGGUAGCUGCCGGCACGGGUAGAUCGAUAGAGGGAGUCGGUGACGGCUCUCCCAGAUAAAUGAUAAGACGGUUCGACGCGCCCACGGGUACGGUCGGGCCGACAGAAUCCGGCUUAUAGAUUCGGGUCGAUG